Molecule: ribosomal RNA, 468 nt
Filed under: uncultured bacterium
Lineage: Bacteria
Description: partial 16S ribosomal RNA
Rfam family: Bacterial small subunit ribosomal RNA
Source: RNAcentral
GACGAACGCUGGCGGCGUGCUUAACACAUGCAAGUCGAACGGAACUGCCCUGCUUUUGUGGGGUGCUCGAGUGGCUAACGGGUGAGUAACACGUACGUGACCUGCCCUUGACUUUGGUAUAACUUCCGGAAACUGGGGCUAAUUCCUGAUAGGAGCUCCUUCUUCAUGGUGUGGGUUGGGGAGUUUCGGCGGUUGGGGAUUGACUCGCGGCUUCUCAGCUUGUUGGUGGGUUAGUGGAUUACCAAGGCUUUGACGGGUAGCCGGCCUGAGAGGGUGACCGGCCACAUAGGGACUGAGAUACGGCCCAGACUCGUACGGGAGGCAGCAGUGGGGAAGAUGGAACAAUGGGCGGAAGACUGAUGCAGCAACGCGGCGUGCGGGAUGAUGGCAUUCGGGUUGUAAACCGCUUACGCCUGUGACGAAGCGUGAGUGACGGUAAUGGGUAAAGAAGCACCGGCUAACUACGUG